This 1291-nucleotide long non-coding RNA is filed under the name Solanum tuberosum (potato). RNAcentral's name for it is "long non-coding RNA (STUB_LNC010592)". Lineage: Eukaryota; Viridiplantae; Streptophyta; Magnoliopsida; Solanales; Solanaceae. The record is from RNAcentral.
CUAUUGAAACGGGUCGAGAUCCAACACCAAACGAGUUACAUUUGCAUGUCCAUACGCAUGGUCAUGAUGGUAAAUCUUUUGUUGGUGAACGCUCUCGAAUUGUCUAUGUAAGUCCAAAAUUUUGAAACUUAUCUGAAUAUAUACAUGUCAUUUCUUAUUAAAAGGGAAAACUUGGCUGAAAAUGAACAGUAGUUUAGUUUCAUGGUUGGAUGUUCUUAUCUUGCUGCUCAACUGAUGUGUGGACUGUUUACUUCUUGAUCUUCGUAAGUCGUUCAGCUUUUAGAAAUUUCUGAGAGUGUUUCGACUUAUUGUUAGACUGUAAAUCAGUGGUGUAACUUGUUUGCUAUUCAUGUUGUUUUCUUGACUUUUGUCUCCUUGUAAUCUUGAUGAUUUGGUUUAGUCUCGAGUUCGUUUCUGCUUAGUAAGGUCCUCUUAUUUUACGGUUUUGGUUUGCUGUAAAAGUUGUGGUUCAGUCAUGAAGUCCGAAAUCAUUUUCUAUAGGAAAACAUAAAUGGUCGUACAUUCCCUGUUAUCCUACAUUACGAGUUAUUUUGUUCAAGAUUGCUGUAACUAAGAAAUUGAGUUUAAACGAGUCGAAAAGCUAUAUGUUUCAAGCUGCUGAAGUAUUUUUUUUGUAUUGUUAUUCUUUGUUAAAGUUCCUUCCAUUCUAACUAGGCUAUUGUUUGUUAUUGUCAUCAUCCUUACCCUUAAGUCAAGAUAAGACAAAAUUUUAGUGUUUACGUCUAAGUUAAGUUCGAUUCAAUAUUUGGUUGCUUCUUUCUUCAUGCUUCGACUUUGCUCUCCUUUCACUGCUCAACGUUGCGUUUGUAUCGAACUAUAGUGUCUACAUUGACACCCCNNGUUACAUCCUUCCCCCCCCCCCCCCCCUUUAUUAAGGAACAAUGAACUAUGCUAACCACCACCACCACCACCACCCCAUGUUACUAAUGAACUAUGUUAUCCGUCUCGACUGAUUGAUCGGAAUGAAAACGAUUAAUAUUGAACUGCUAAGAUGACAUUUAUUUAGGAAUUUUGACCCAUAAUUGACAUGCUAUGUGCAUGAACCUUAAGUUGUUAAUCAAACUCCAAUUGAAUAGCUUUGUUUUGUGCGUGGACUAUGCAUCUGGUGACUGAUCUUGGGGUUUUACUCUCUACAAGAAAUGCACCAUUAAAUGCAUAUGGACUUAAAGGAACAAUGUGUGAAAUUAAAGUGUGGAGGGAAAAAUCAGAACAAACACAAGCUUGAUUACUAAAUAGAUGUAGAAUUAUAUUGAAGAAAAAAGGAAGGUGC